This is a non-coding RNA of Malus domestica (apple), 1156 nucleotides long. The record is from RefSeq and is a predicted model, not a curated record. Lineage: Eukaryota; Viridiplantae; Streptophyta; Magnoliopsida; Rosales; Rosaceae.
UUGCUUGCAGCCGCACUUCAGCAGUUGUCUUGAAAGAUUGAGUCUCGUUAACUGCGCGUCACUCUUGUCGUUCCCGAGAAACGGUCUACCCACUUCGUUGACAUAUCUUGGAAUAGAAAAAUGCAGGAGAUUAGAAUUCCUAUCUCAUGAGAUGAUGGCCAAAUUGACAUCCCUUCAAGAUUUGAGAUUGAGGGACAGCUGUGAUUCACUGAGGUCCUUCCCGCUGGGCGUUUUCCCCAAACUUUCAUUUCUUAAUAUCGAGGGCGGUAAAAAUCUAGAAUCCCUUUCCAUUGGAGAAGGAGCUGAUGAUGAAAAUCUCACUCAUCUCGAUUCUCUCUUUAUCUAUGACUGUCCAAAUCUGGUCUCUUUUCCCCACGGGGGAUUGCACACUCCCAAACUGGCUCGAUUUACAGUCUGGGGAUGCAAGAAUUUGAAGUUAUUGCCCGACCGAUUACACACCCUCACCGCCCUUCGAGACUUAGAUAUAUACAAUCUUCCAAAUGUUGAGUCAUUUGCAGAAGGGGGUUUGCCUCCCAACCUACAAUCAUUUGGAAUCAUAGGUUGUGAGAAACUGAGGCCUUCAGUGGAGUACUGGGGUUUGCAACGACUUGUCUCCCUCCGAACAUUUCGGAUCUGGAGCAGCGAGGAUUUGUUGGACACUGUGCUCAAGGAACAGCUGCUCCCUACCACACUUCACGGUCUCGAAAUCUCUGGAGUGAAUAGGCUGAAAUCUUUGAAGGGAAAGGGACUUCAACACCUCAAUUGUCUCCAAGAGCUCGAAAUUACAAGCUGUCGUCGUCUCAAAUUCCUGCCAAAAGAGGGUUUUCCGGCAUCGCUCUCUUUUCUGAGCAUCAAAAAAUGUCCUUCUCUGAGGAAGAGGUGUCGGGAGAAGACGGGAGAAGAGUGGAGCAAGAUAGCUCACAUUCCUUGCAUCGAGAUAGAUGAUCAAGUCAUCAUUUGAGAUCUCAAAGUCAAAGUCAGAUAGCAAACUGUGCUGUAAAGUUUGAAUUACCUAAGUCCAUUGCUUCCAUCAAUUAGUUGUCUAUGAAUGGUUCCCUUGCAGUGUGACAUGUAUAUGAUUCUCCUUCAAUUGGAUAGAUCUGUUUUGGUACAUACACAGCUGAUGAAGUGAGAACGGGCGACGAUGAUCACAAAA